GUUAUUUAGUAAUAGUGGCUUGGAGGGAGGGGACACUAUGGAAGUAUUUUAGUUGUAAUGGUUUGGAGUCCAGGGGGGUUGUUUUGUAGUAGUGGCUUGGAGGCUGAGGGGUCUAGGUGUGUUAUUUAGUAGAAGUUGCUUGGAGGCUGAGGGGGCUAGGUGUGUUCUUUAGUAGAAGUGGCUUGGAGGCUGAGGGGGCUAGGUGUGUUCUUUAGUAGAAGUGGCUUGGAGGUUGAGGAGGCUAGGGGGGUUAUUUAGUAGUAGGUGCUUGGAGUCUAGGAGGGUUAUUUAUUAGUAUGUCCUUGGAGGCUAGGAGGGUUAUUUAGUAGUAUGUGCUUGGAGGCUGAGGGGGCUAGGUGUGUUCUUUAGUAGAAGUGGCUUGGAGGCUGAGGGGGCUAGGUGUGUUCUUUAGUAGAAGUGGCUUGGAGGCUGAGGGGGCUAGGUGUGUUCUUUAGUAGAAGUGGCUUGGAGGUUGAGGAGGCCAGGGGGGUUAUUUAGUAGUAGGUGCUUGGAGUCUAGGAGGGUUAUUUAUUAGUAUGUCCUUGGAGGCUAGGAGGGUUAUUUAGUAGUAUGUGCUUGGAGGCUGAGGGGGCUAGGUGUGUUCUUUAGUAGAAGUGGCUUGGAGGCUGAGGGGGCUAGGUGUGUUCUUUAGUAGAAGUGGCUUGGAGGCUGAAGGGGCUAGGUGUGUUCUUUAGUAGAAGUGGCUUGGAGGCUGAAGGGGCUAGGUGUGUUCUUUAGUAAUAGUGGCUUGGAGGCUAGGUGUGUUAUUUGGUAGAACUGGAUUCGAGGCUAUGGGAGUAAUUUAUUAAUAUUCUUUUGGUGGCUACAGGGGUUAUUUAGUAGUAGUGGCUUGGAGGUUUUGGAAGCUAGGGGGUUAAUUUGUAGCAAUGGCUUGGAGGCUAGGGGGGUUAUUUAGUAGUAGUGGCUUGGAGGCU
Oncorhynchus mykiss (rainbow trout) is the source of this 935-nucleotide non-coding RNA. The record is from RefSeq and is a predicted model, not a curated record. Lineage: Eukaryota; Metazoa; Chordata; Actinopteri; Salmoniformes; Salmonidae.